GAGCUGGGACUGUUUAGCCUGGAAAAGAGAAGCCUCAGGGGGAUCCCAUCAAUGUAUAUAAACACCUGAAGGGAGGGUGCAAAGAGGACAAAGCCAGGCUUUUUUCAGUGAUGCUCAGUGACAGGACAAGAGCAAUGGGCACACACUGAAACACAGGAGAAUCUGUAUGAACACAGGAAACACUUUUUCCACUGUGGGUGUGACUGAGCACUGGCACCAGGAUGCCCAAAGAAGUUGUGGAGUCUCCCUCCUUAAUGAUACUCAAGAGUCAUCUGGGCAUGGUCCUUGACAACCAGCUCUGGGUGGCCCUGCUAAACCAGGGAGGUUGGACUACAUGACCUCCAGAAGCCCCUUCCAACCUCCAACACUCUCUGGUUCUGUGAGGUGUGAAAUAAAGAGAAUCACAAAACAGGAAAAGCGUGGUAAACUUCCAUCGCAGAUGUCAACAUGGAACUUGAAGUGCUCUACGUAUAUGAUGGUUGUGGAAUUA
Strigops habroptila (Kakapo) is the source of this 490-nucleotide long non-coding RNA. RefSeq lists it as uncharacterized. The transcript is spliced from 2 exons. Lineage: Eukaryota; Metazoa; Chordata; Aves; Psittaciformes; Psittacidae. The record is from RefSeq and is a predicted model, not a curated record.